GAUGAACGCUGGCGGCGUGCCUAAUACAUGCAAGUCGAGCGAAUGGAUUAAGAGCUUGCUCUUAUGAAGUUAGCGGCGGACGGGUGAGUAACACGUGGGUAACCUGCCCAUAAGACUGGGAUAACUCCGGGAAACCGGGGCUAAUACCGGAUAACAUUUUGAACCGCAUGGUUCGAAAUUGAAAGGCGGCUUCGGCUGUCACUUAUGGAUGGACCCGCGUCGCAUUAGCUAGUUGGUGAGGUAACGGCUCACCAAGGCAACGAUGCGUAGCCGACCUGAGAGGGUGAUCGGCCACACUGGGACUGAGACACGGCACAGACUCCUACGGGAGGAAGCAGUAGGGAAUCUUCCGCAAUGGACGAAAGUCUGACGGAGCAACGCCGCGUGAGUGAUGAAGGCUUUCGGGUCGUAAAACUCUGUUGUUAGGGAAGAACAAGUGCUAGUUGAAUAAGCUGGCACCUUGACGGUACCUAACCAGAAAGCCACGGCUAACUACGUGCCAGCGGCCGCGGUAA
RNAcentral lists this ribosomal RNA (515 nucleotides) under uncultured bacterium. Its description in RNAcentral is "partial 16S ribosomal RNA". It matches the Rfam family "Bacterial small subunit ribosomal RNA", at positions 28 to 523 of the family's 1533-position model. The record is from RNAcentral.